CCGACGACCGGCGCACGGGUGCGCAACGCGUAUACAAUCUACCUUAUGCUGAGGGAUAGCCCAGAGAAAUUUGGAUUAAGACCUCAUGGUAUCGGGAAACGGCAUCGUUUUCUGAUUAAAGGUUACGGCAUAAGAUGAGUAUGCGUCCCAUUAGCUAGUUGGUGUGGUAACGGCACACCAAGGCAACGAUGGGUAGGGGUCCUGAGAGGGAGAUCCCCCACACUGGUACUGAGACACGGACCAGACUCCUACGGGAGGCAGCAGUGAGGAAUAUUGGACAAUGGACGAAAGUCUGAUCCAGCCAUGCCGCGUGCAGGAAGACGGUCCUAUGGAUUGUAAACUGCUUUUAUACGGGAAGAAUAAGGGCUACGUGUAGCCCGGUGACGGUACCGUAAGAAUAAGGAUCGGCUAACUCCGUGCCAGCAGCCGCGGUAAUACGGAGGAUCCAAGCGUUAUCCGGAAUCAUUGGGUUUAAAGGGUCCGUAGGCGGACUAUUAAGUCAGGGGUGAAAGUCUGCAGCUCAACUGUAGAAUUGCCUUUGAUACUGGUAGUCUUGAGUUAUGGUGAAGUGGCUAGAAUAUGUAGUGUAGCGGUGAAAUGCAUAGAUAUUACAUAGAAUACCGAUUGCGAAGGCAGGUCACUAACCAUACACUGACGCUGAUGGACGAAAGCGUGGGGAGCGAACAGGAUUAGAUACCCUGGUAGUCCACGCCGUAAACGAUGGAUACUAGCUGUUCGGACUUCGGUCUGA
RNAcentral lists this ribosomal RNA (751 nucleotides) under Sediminicola luteus. Its description in RNAcentral is "bacterial SSU rRNA". It matches the Rfam family "Bacterial small subunit ribosomal RNA", at positions 88 to 842 of the family's 1533-position model. The record is from RNAcentral. Lineage: Bacteria; Pseudomonadati; Bacteroidota; Flavobacteriia; Flavobacteriales; Flavobacteriaceae.